AAUCUGGUUGAUCCUGCCAGUAGUCAUAUGCUUGUCUCAAAGAUUAAGCCAUGCAUGUCUAAGUAUAAGCAAUUAUACGGCGAGACUGCGAAUGGCUCAUUAAAACAGUUAUAGUUUAUUUGCUAGACGUUUAUAUGGAUAACCGUAGUAAUUCUAGAGCUAAUACAUGCUGGUUACGCUGUGCGUAGUAUUUAUUAGAUAAAACCCAACGGGGGCGACCCUGUGGAGGAAUCAUAAUAACUUAGCGAACUCGACGUAGUGAAGCAUUCAAGUUUCUGCCCUAUCAGCUUUCGAUGGUAGUGUAUUGGACUACCAUGGCGAUGACGGGUGACGGAGAAUUAGGGUUCGAUUCCGGAGAGGGAGCCUGAGAAAUGGCUACCACAUCUAAGGAAGGCAGCAGGCGCGCAAAUUACCCAAUCCUAACUCAGGGAGGUAGUGACAAGAAAUAACAACGCGGGGCUUUGUCUUGCGAUUGGAAUGAGUUAAGUGUAAAAGCCUUUUCGAGGACCCACUGGAGGGCAAGUCUGGUGCCAGCAGCCGCGGUAAUUCCAGCUCCAGUAGCGUAUAUUAAAGUUGUUGCAGUUAAAAAGCUCGUAGUUGAAGCUCUGCGGGGCGGGUCGCUGGGCCUCGGUCUGGUGACCUUCCUCGCAUCCAUCUGAGCAACGGCUCCGGCAUUAACUUGUCGCUGUCGUGAUCAGGUACUUUACCUUGAGCAAAUGAGAGUGUUCCAGGCAGGCUUGGGCCUGAAUCGUCCAGCAUGGAAUAAUAGAAGAGGACUGGGCUCCAUUUAUUGGUGUUAUGGCGCUUAGUAAUGAUUAAUAGGGAUAGUUGGGGGCAUUUGUAUUUAAUUGUCAGAGGUGAAAUUCUAUGAUUUAUUAAAGACAAACUUAUGCGAAAGCAUUUGCCAAGGAUGUUUUCAUUAAUCAAGAACGAAAGUUAAGGGAUCAAAGACGAUCAGAUACCGUCGUAGUCUUAACCAUAAACUAUGCCGACUAGAGAUUGGAGGUG
This is a non-coding RNA of Blepharisma stoltei, 1008 nucleotides long. The record is from the annotation of a GenBank genome assembly. NCBI's taxonomy places the organism in Eukaryota, Ciliophora, Heterotrichea, Heterotrichida, Blepharismidae.